GUGUCAGCCGCCGCGGUAAGACGAGGGGUGCAAGCGUUAUUCGGAAUUAUUGGGCGUAAAGGGUGUGUAGACGGCAUGUUAAGUCCGUUGUUAAAUUUCCCGGCUUAACCGGGAAUCAGCGAUGGAUACUGGCAUACUAGAGGGUGGAAGAGAGAAGUGGAAUUCUCGGAGUAGCGGUAAAAUGCGUAGAUCUCGAGAGGAACACCAAUGGCGAAGGCAGCUUCUUAGUCCAUUUCUGACGUUGAGACACGAAAGCGUGGGGAGCAAACAGGAUUAGAAACCCCAGUAGUCC
Molecule: ribosomal RNA, 292 nt
Filed under: uncultured bacterium
Lineage: Bacteria
Description: partial 16S ribosomal RNA
Rfam family: Bacterial small subunit ribosomal RNA
Source: RNAcentral